ACGCACGCUGGCGGCGUGCUUAACACAUGCACGUCGAACGGAAAGGCCCUGCUUUUGUGGGGUGCUCGAGUGGCGAACGGGUGAGUAACACGUGAGUAACCUGCCCUUGACUUUGGGAUAACUUCAGGAAACUGGGGCUAAUACCGGAUAGGAGCUCCUGCUGCAUGGUGGGGGUUGGAAAGUUUCGGCGGUUGGGGAUGGACUCGCGGCUUAUCAGCUUGUUGGUGGGGUAGUGGCUUACCAAGGCUUUGACGGGUAGCCGGCCUGAGAGGGUGACCGGCCACAUUGGGACUGAGAUACGGCCCAGACUCCUACGGGAGGCAGCAGUGGGGAAUAUUGCACAAUGGGCGGAAGCCUGAUGCAGCAACGCCGCGUGCGGGAUGACGGCCUUCGGGUUGUAAACCGCUUUCGCCUGUGACGAAGCGUGAGUGACGGUAAUGGGUAAAGAAGCACCGGCUAACUACGUG
This 467-nucleotide ribosomal RNA is filed under the name uncultured bacterium. RNAcentral describes it as "partial 16S ribosomal RNA". It matches the Rfam family "Bacterial small subunit ribosomal RNA", at positions 29 to 507 of the family's 1533-position model. The record is from RNAcentral.